Molecule: long non-coding RNA, 1396 nt
Filed under: Anas platyrhynchos platyrhynchos (common mallard)
Lineage: Eukaryota; Metazoa; Chordata; Aves; Anseriformes; Anatidae
Description: lncRNA (ENSAPLG00000022445.1)
Source: RNAcentral
ACACGUCAAGGGGCUGUGGAGGGGCUGGCACAGGGUCGUUUCCUGGGGCUCAGUGAUGUCCCUUGCAGGGGACACUGAUGUGGAGCACAGAGAGAAAGCCCAGGGAGCUCCCCCGGCUCUGAGUACCAGGUUUGUUGACUGAGGGCCAUCAGUAGGGAAAUGCAGGUAAUUAGCUCCUUUGUCCUUGCUGGAUAACAGCAGAGGAUACCAGCAGAAACAGAAACAUAAAUAUUGAAUUAUAAAAACAGAAUUUAUAUAGUCAUGGAAUGUAUACAUACAUUAUAAAGUGGAAUUUCAGGUCUAAAGCAUUCAGUUACCCAGUGGGUACAUUGAAGUUUUGUCUCUGUAUGCACAAAACACUUCCUCUUUCCAUUGAUGCAAAUAACUUGAAAUGAAUAAUGUUUUUCUUGUUUGUUAGCAUCAUCUCCCCCUGUUGUCCAUCGACAUGAAAUGCAGUGUUCUGAAACAUGAGAAAGGCAAUACAUUUCCUCCAGUUCUUUGUAAGCUGAUACGAAGUAGACAGACACCUUCUGAAGUUUUGUGCAUGCUGUGCUCUUUUUUUCUUUGCUGCAACAAGAAAAGUCUUUUCUUUUAACCUGGCUUACUUUGAAGAAGUAACUCAGGAAGCUUCAUGGCCUCUCAAGAAUCUCAACAACAAACAACCACAGUCUUUAAGGAUUACCUCCCUGGUUCUUCUGGCCUUCCUGAACAAGAUAAGCCUGUUGAACCCACAAGCCUCUGGAAGCAAACAUCACAUGCUCAUAACUUGCCACCUGGUCUGGAGUAUCUGAAUCAGGUCCUGGAUAUUUUCAAAUGCUAAAACUGUUCUGUUUUCAUCAUAGACUGAUAAAUUUGGGGGGUGGGGGAGUGUUCUUUUUUUUUUUUUUUUUUUUCCUUGUGAAGAGGGAGUUGGAGAAGGGGAAGCUUUUUGGUUGUCUGAUAUUACUAUGAAAUAAGGAACAUAGGACUAAUAAGCUCUUCCUUCAUUGCUGCCAUUCAUUUUUAUGGAAAACCAUUUGUUGUACAGUUCUCCUUGCCCCCCAAACACAAUUUUCUUCUCUCUAGGACUUGCUUUUUCCUGAUCAUAACUUUUAUCCCUCUCAUUGUCCUGCCCAGAUUCCUUCCAGCUCCUUAAGAGCUCACUUCCAGGGAAACCACUGCCAACCUCCGUCUGACCUCAAAACUAGUCUGGUUGAUGAAAACAAGCAGUGUGCUGAAGGAACUGUCACAUUCCAUCCUUUUGGGAACAUGCAGGUCUUCUGAGCAAAUUCCUUGUGCCCACUGGGACAGUGUCCUCAAGGUUAGAGGGAGGGUCCUGGGAAAGCCAUAUCCCAAGGGGAUGACUUGGUGAGUGAAAGCCUGAGCUGGUUUGGGCUGUGGGGCAGGAAAGGGCUAG